This 6899-nucleotide long non-coding RNA is filed under the name Malus domestica (apple). RNAcentral's name for it is "long non-coding RNA (MDOM_LNC003532)". Lineage: Eukaryota; Viridiplantae; Streptophyta; Magnoliopsida; Rosales; Rosaceae. The record is from RNAcentral.
UCCCAACAUGACUACUUUCUUAAAAAUCGAAGAGAGGGUAAAGGAACAGUACCAUUGCUGGAUAAUUGGAAAGUCCCUGUGUGUCAACCUCUGCGCUUCGUGGCAAGGUAGACUAGCAAACAUGCCCAACCUUUACUCACAUUCGAGAAAACACUCCCAACAAGAUUGCUUGCUCCAAAAUCGAAGAGGCACCGCCCUCCGAAUCUCGAGAGCCAGACUCCCAACAUGAUUACUUUCUCAAAAAUCGAAGAGACACUGCUCCCCGAAUCUCGAGAGCCAGACCCCAGCAUGAUUGCUUUUUCAAAAAUCGAUGAGGCAUCGUUCUCCGAAUCAAUCGAAGAGGCGCUCGCUUUCUCAAAUGCUGGGCUGCUCAGAGACCACGAGGGUCGAUCUCAGAAAUCGAAGAGGCACCUACUUUUCUAGCCUUGUCAGCACCUGUCACACGCACACUCAGCUUUGCAGAAAUUAUGGGCAUUAUGUCGAAGACUUCUGGUGAAGUAGAAAGCACAUGAAUCUUACUGUUCAAUCACCCACUUCCCACACGCAACAAUAGCUCAUGGGUACCACAAAUAACUUUGCCAAAGUUCUCUGCCAAAGUUGAGCACGUGAAAGCUUGCAGCUCCCACUACAUCGCUCUGACCAAGAAAGGUAAAAGAAUAGCAAAGAAACAACAGCACUAACAAAAGUUUAGACACAUAAAUUUUGAAGGUCUAGCUACCAUAUUAUUACCCACAACUGUAAAGGAACAGUACCACUGCUGGAUAAUUGGAAAGUCCCUGUGUGUCAACCUCUGUGCUUCGUGGCAAGGUAGACUAGCAAAACAUGCCCAACCUUUACUCACAUUCGAGAAAACACUCCCAAUAAGAUUGCUUGCUCCAAAAUCGAAGAGGCACCGUCCUCCGAAUCUCGAGAGCCAGACUCCCAACAUGACUACUUUUCUCAAAAUCGAAGAGAGGGUAAAGGAACAGUACCAUUGCUGGAUAAUUGGAAAGUCCCUGUGUGUCAACCUUUGUGCUUCGUGGCAAGGUAGACUAGCAAACAUGCCCAACCUUUACUCACAUUCGAGACAACACUCCCAACAAGAUUGCUUGCUCCAAAAUCGAAGAGGCACCGCCCUCCGAAUCUCGAGAGCCAGACUCCCAACAUGAUUACUUCCUCAAAAAUCGAAGAGACACUGCUCUCCGAAUCUCGAGAGUCAUACCCCCAGCAUGAUUGCUUUCUCAAAAAUCGAAGAGGCAUCGUUCUCCGAAUCUCGAGAGCCAGAUACCACAGACCACUUUUUCAAAGUGCUCUGACAGAGUUAAAACAUGUGAAACUGGCAGCUCCCACUACCGUGCUAUGACCAAGCAGGGUAAAGGAAUAGCAUUACUACUUGUUGUUAGGGAGACUCCUAUAUAUGUCGACCUCCAUCCCCAACGGACAGGCAGACCUGCAAAAAUGCUCAACCCUUCAUCAUAUCUGAGAGGGCACUCCCAACGAAGCCUUUCGAAAUAUUCAGCUUUCUUUCCCCCCGAUAAUACCUCUGCAAACAAGCUAUACUAGAGCAAGAAUAUCUCAUAUCAUCAGGGUUAAAAGCAAGAGUAUCCCAUAUCAUGCUUUUUCCCUGUCUUUUCUUUUGGCCUUGUUUUUACCUGCAAGACAAGGAGAAAAAGAGCAAUCAGUCAGCACUUGGAAUCAAGCUUCCAGCCAGGAACUGACUGCUUGGAACCCCUUACCUUAUUACUUACCUGGCAUUGCUCUCGAGUACUCAUCUUCAACAUCUUAUGUUUCCAGGGAAGAUUCCGCAUCUGCUUGAGGAACAGAUAGGGCAAGUGCGAAGGAUACAAGGAAGCAUGUGGAGACAAGCGUAACAGCACACGUGCCGAUACAUUCAUUACUCUGUCAAAAGCAAAAGUAUCCCAUAUUAGCAGGGUGGAACGUACUCUAGAUUUGAUGGACUUGUUUUGACCCUCAAAUUCUUCAGUCGGCCUUAUACUCUGGAGAAAACCAGAAAACCCUCCAGCUCAGUUCAAGAAUAAGCCUGUGGAAAGUUACUUCUUCAAAAGCAAAAGUAUCUCAUAUCAUCUCUUCUCAUUUUUCUCUCUUUUAUCCUUCAUGCUGCUGCAAGAUGGGGAGAAGGUGAACAAUCAGUCGGAGCUCUGAUUGCUUACCUUGUCUGUCACCUCUUUCAGCAGACCCCCUAGCUCGGCGACUUGGGGGACUCCUACUACAUGGUUUGUAUCGCGCUUGACCAAGCCUGAAACUACAAGUAAGCUUCAAGUGAAAUUGAUACAUUACCUUGUGCAUCUCCACCAGUUAAAGAUACCACCCCUGGAUGGAGGAAGAGUACUUCCAGAGAAGAUGCCACAUCUACCUAUGAGACAGAUAAGGCAAGUCAAGACGACAUCACACUCCGAUAUUUAGAAGUUUCGUGAUUACGAGAUCAUUCUACCACAAUAUUUUCUAAUGUCAUUUGUACUAAAUCAUUCACUUGUACUCACUAAAUGAGAGCUUGAACCUAUGUACUUGUGUAAACCCUUCACAAUUAAUGAGAACUCUUCUAUUCCGUGGACGUAGCCAAUCUGGGUGAACCACGUACAUCUUGUGUUUGCUUUCCUAUCUCUAUCCAUUUAUAUACUUAUCCACACUAAUGACUGGAGCAAUCUAGCGAAGAUCAUAAAAAGCGAUCGUUUUCGCUACCUAGGAUCUAUCUUGCAAGAGAACGGAGAAUUAGAUGGAGAUCUCAACCAUAGAAUACGAGCUGGAUGGAAAGAGUGCAUCCGGCGUGUUGUGUGACCGUCGUAGGCCACUGAAGCUCAAGGGAAAAUUUUAUAGGACGGCAAUAAGGCUAGCGAUGUUGUAUGGCACAGAAUGUUGGGUGGUGAAGCAUCAACACGUACACAAAAUGGGUGUAACGGAGAUGAGGAUGCUUCGUGGGAUGUGUGGGCACACGAGAAAGGAUAAGAUUGGGAAUGAGGAUAUCCGAGGUAAAGUAGGAGUAGCCGAAAUUGUAGGAAAGAUGAGAGAAAAUCGGCUCCGGUGAUUUUGAACAUGUGCAAAGAAGGCCUGACGCUCCGGUUCGAAGAUGUGACUACGGGACAGAGGUUCAGGGCCGAAGGGGUAGAGGAAGACCUAGGACAACUUUGGAAGAGACUCUAAGAAAAGACUUAGAGUACUUGGAUCUAACGGAGGACAUGACACAAAACCGAGCGCAAUGGCGUUCUAGGAUUCAUAUAGCCGACCCCACUUAGUGGGAAAAGGCUUUGUUGUUGUUGUUGUUGUAUUAAUUGUAUAAACCCUAAAUCUUCCUCGAGUCCCUAUAAUCCAUGCAAGAAGUUUGUUGAACUUUGUCAUACUCAAUAUAUAACUGUGUACACGUGUCUCACUCAACUUCAUGGAAUCUGCGAAUCGUUAAACUGUCGUGAAGUUUGCCAGAGUCAACCUACUUAAUGAACUCUGCAAGUAUAUACACUAUACAGAAAAUCGAAUCAACUGCAUCCUCUUAUAUUUUAUAUUUAAUUUUGUUGUAUUGACUUUUUCUUGUUUUCUUGCAGUCGUUUUUGGCCAUCUGUGAAGGCAUUCCUCUAUGAAGUUCCCAUGUUGGGAUGGAUCAUAAGGUUUCUAUUCUGGUGAGUUGAACUUGUCUUGUUUUAUUGUUCAAGAUGCUUAAUGCUCCAAACCGUUUUAUUUGAAAUGGUUGUUCUGACCUCGCACCAUAGUUCAAUUGUUACCCUGUAAAAGAAUUGUUUGUAGCUUCACUUGGUGACAGCUGAGACUCGCAAAUACUUCCUUCUCUCUCUCCCACUCACUACACAUGAAAAAUGAAAAUCUUUGUGCGUCUACUUGUUCUUGUGGAAAAUAUUUUGUGACAAAAGUUAUUUCAGAAUUGUUAUGGACCAGCAGGUACGUAAAUUUACAUUGAUCACGUACUCACGAUUCCUAAUAGUGAAUACAUUGUAAGACUAAGGAUUUUAAGGGUGAGGUGCUUGUAAAGUUAAAAGUUUGGACCAGUAGCCUCUACCCGCUCUAAACAUUACCAAACUAUACACUGACUAUUCAGUCUAUUCUCAUCGAGUCACAUGUACUCUUUCUGAUGAAAGAAAUAUGGCAGACAUGAUUGUUAAAAUGAAAUCUCGCUGCAAAAGUUUUGGAUGGACGAUUCAAGACAAGGAAUGGUCUGGUAUAGUUGUAUGCAUAUAUAUGUAUGUAUGUAUGGUUGAAGAUUGAAAGCCUUGAAUAAUCAGGCAGAGAAUCCAAUCCCAAAAGUUUGUGGAUGGGAAUUGCCAUGAACUUAAUAUCAUCUUCUAAUGUCUUGCAGAUUCUUGAUCAACUUCAGGGCAGUGAUGCUUGACGUCUACUUAUAUAACAGCUCGUGUCUCACAGGGUUUCCUGAUUCUUCAGAAGCCGAACAAGGUCUAAGCAACUGGCUUCUCAUGGGUUUAAGAUUCCAUCAUCAGAUGAGUGAAAAAGAAGAAAGAGACUAGUAGUACUGGGUAGCAUAUCAUCCAUCACACUUAAAAUGUUGUGUAACAAAAUAAGUUUUAAAUGCAUAUGAAUUCAGAUUCUGUUGGUAAUAGUUGUAAAUGAGAGAUGAGCAAGUGAGAUGGAUUAUUUGAUGUCUUUAUUUUCCAAUAAAAAAAAAUCGAAAAACAAAAAGCGAAAAUGUUAGCGCAGAGAUGGAUACGGACGAGCAAUUUUUAGGUGUAUUUCGAUUACCAUCACGUUUCGUGACUAUUACACAUGUUCUAAUAUGAGUGGAUGACAUGGUUUGUAUGUGUCCCACUUCUAGUAAUGCUACGCGGCGGUGUUCCAACUUCCGAGUACAUUACUCUCGAUAGAGAGAUGGUAUGUGUAGAUUGACCUUAAAUGCUGGUAGAGAGAGUUGGUUUUUGAUGGAUUAAAAGUGAUAUCUACUUGCCACCAUUAAAUGCUUGCCCGUCUUCCUCCUUUUAAUGAAUGUACGUUUGAUGAGGGCAAUUUAAGAGCACUCUUUAAGUAGAGAAGCACCUUUUGCAUGACUCCUGCAAUCCAGAUAGGUAGAGAGCAAUACUUUGCCCUACACACCCCACCAUUUAUAUACUUAUACUUUCUCUUUUCUUGUGAUAUCAAAUCCUAGGUUUUUUUAAGAGGGCGACCUCAACCUAACAAGGUUCCCGCUUUGUGAAAGUUUCCAGAAAAUGGAAAUUCCAGAGCUCUCUUUAGGUCCAACACAGUUGGGUUUUAAUAAAAAUAGUAGCAGUAGCAGUAGUCCAGUGGAAUCUGCAGAAAGCAAAGGUACUUGUAGGAAGAGGAAGUUUUUCCAAGAUCACCACCUGAAGAGUAGUGCUCCAUCUCCAUCACUUCAAACAAGCGUUGAUCCUCAACUUAAAGACCCCCUUCCAUUGGAUUGGGAACAGUGCCUUGAUCUUGAUUGAGCAAUAAUCUUAGAUUGAAAUCUUUUUGGUUUGAGUAUUUUGAUUUAAAGAGAAAUAUUAAAUCUCAGAUUAAGAAAUUUAAUAUUUUUGUUUGGUGCAGUAAUACAAAGAUUAAUACCUAGUAGAAAUUUUUUUUUCCGCAUAUUUGAGUAGUGUGAUAGAGGGCGAGUCUUGGCAUAACGGAAAUGUUACUUUUUUGUGACCGAAAGGUCACAUGUUUGAGUGAAAAAACCUAUAUGCAAAGUAAGGUAAGGAUGUGUAUUGUAGAUGCCUCCUGAAUCUCGCAGAACGAGGAGCGUUGUUGGCUUGGGGUCACCUUUAGUCAUUUUAAACAGUAAUGUACAUGCAUGAGAAUAUGUUUGAUUAUGAUCUAUUUAUUUUCAACUAAUAACUUCACAUGUUCUUAAUUAAUCAAGGUUAAGAUAUGGUUUUGUCUUAAUUAUUUGUUGUAAUUGAUAUUAUUGUCUGGUACGUACUUGUUUGGUGCAGUCCGGGAAAAUGUACUAUCUGAACAGAAAGACCUCGAGAAAGAGGUGGAACUGGCCUAUCAACCAGGCAUCUGUGAACCUUGAGCUCAACAUCUCAACGCUCUCAGGUUCAAGUUCUGGUUCGCGAUUCAACCGAAGCUCCGAGACAAUCGAUGAGGCCAAGAACUGUUGUGCGGAAGCGUCAAAUAUGAAACCAAUAAGCUACAACGGCAAAAUAUGAUAAGACAAAUAAUCCAAAUGACACAAGGAUUUAUACUGGUUCGGCGUAAGCCUACGUCUAGUUCCGAGACGGCGAGAAAAUUCCACUAAUAUCAAAAGGAGAUUACAAAUAGAGUUUUAACUUUCAAACCCAAAUCUCACAUACACCCAAUAGCUCUCACUCUCACAAAGAACAAUUGGAGAAGAUGGACACACAUCAAAUAUCAUCUCUCCCAAAAGCUACACAACAUGUAGCAACAACAUCUUUGGUUGAGGGAUUACUAACAAAAGGGGAUUACAAACAAAUGGGAAGGAGAAGCACUAUUUCAAAUGGGAGAGCCGAACGCUCUCCCUAGUAUGGCUCUCAUCUGAUGCCGCUCCCCCACACCUCCCACAUUCGGCUGCAACCUUUAUCCUUACAAAAUCAUCCAAUAAAAAAUCCAAAGUAAAGAAUAAUCAUUCAUUUACAAACAUCAUCAUGACCUUCCUUUUUCUUUUCAGCAGACAUAUUCAUUUUUCUCCUCAUAAUGAUGUUCCCACAUCAUUCAUAAUGAUGUUCCCACAUCAUUAUGUCCUUCAUUUUUUAUUAUAUACUUUUGGCCACUUGGCCACUAAUUUGGCCACUAUCCAACAAGAACAACAACUGCAAGUAUGAUGGCAGCUGAGACAAUAGUAAUAACAAUAACACGGUAGCUUUGGCUUGCAGGAAAUGCCAUCUCCUUCUUGUUCUUUCCAGGUCUUCUCCUUGUUGCCCCAACUGCCAAUAUCUCCACUCACUUUAAACUUAAUUCCAACCAACUCUUGGAAAGCAAGGAUUAUG